Long non-coding RNA from Callithrix jacchus (white-tufted-ear marmoset), 2254 nucleotides. RefSeq lists it as uncharacterized. NCBI's taxonomy places the organism in Eukaryota, Metazoa, Chordata, Mammalia, Primates, Cebidae. The record is from RefSeq and is a predicted model, not a curated record.
UGGUAAUAGAAGCCUUUGUCUUCGGUGGGCCCGCCCCAGUCCUCCUGGCUCUCGCCCUCUGUGGCGUAGGAGAAACCCUCUUCCACCGAGAAGGGGUCAUCCACGUCGUAGCGCUGAGAUGAGGCUUCACCAUGUUCCCCAGGCUGGUCUCAAGCUCUUGGACUCAAGUGAUCUGCAGGCAUGGGCUACCACGCCUGGCCCGAGUCCCAUUUUCUAUCUUGAAUAGACUGUGAAGGCUCAGGGCCUGGAAGUCUGAGAACCUUGGAGUCCAUAGACCAUGAUAGAAGAAGAAACAGAAGCUGGGAGAGAAUGAGUGACUUACUGGAUCUGAGAAGGAGAGGAAUCAGCUUUUUCUAUGAAAGGAGAGAAGUCUCCUGCAUGUCUGGUCCUUCACAGCUCCCUUCCCCUCCCCCAGGCUGGUUUGUAGAUGAUGCUUACUGCAGUAAAUAUGUGCUCCCAUCUACCAGGGAUGGAAAAUGAUUUGGCUUAACGUUUUAUUGUGAAGAACAUGUACCGAAGUGGAUUGAAUAGGAUCGUGAAUCCCAUGUACUCAUCACCCGCUCCCUCACAUUCCCUCCCCUGGCCCCUUCUCUACAGAUUGGUUUGGAACAAACCCCUUUCAUCAUAGGUUUGAUUUGUGAAUAUUUGAGUAUGUAGCUCUAAAAAACAGUAUAAUCACACCUAAAAUUAAUAAUUAUUUCUUAUUUUUUUCUGAUAUCCAGCAGUAUUAAAAUGUAUCUAAGUCAUUACAUGUGUGGGGAAACCUCUUCACCUUAUGAGGCUACACACGUAUUCCCAUGAUGCCAUCAUUGCUUGAAGUAGUUUCUGGGCACUGGUAACUAAAAGGGUUGCUGGGAAUGGCAUCAUAUUCUUUUGUAACUUCUUACAGAUGGCAAUCUUAUACUUUUUGAGAGUGGAUUUGAUUUUGCCAUAAGCCAGAAGUCAUUUUAAACCAAGCCUCAAGAAUAAGAUGGCAAAUUCAUAAACAAUACUAUUUAUUCUAUUUGGAUAUUUAAUUCUGCUUUACCUUAAAAGCAGAUAACUUAGAACCAUUGCUUUGCAGUUAGACAUCUUAGGGUAAGGAACGAGCGCAGGCGUGAUGGUAAACAUGAGAAGGCCUCGCCUUCGUGCUGCAGCAGGGUCCUGGCGGCUCCUCUGCGGAGCUGGAAUUUUAUUAUGUUUUUAGUUGACGGGUCAUGGUGAGGGUGCCUGGCAUUGGUAGGAAAGUGACUAGUUAGCAAUGUUUCAAUAUUCUGGCUGGGUGUGAUGGUUCACACCUGUAAUCCCAGGACUUUGGGAGGUCGAGGCAGGUGGAUCACCUGAGGUCAGGAGUUUGAGACCAGCCUGGCCAAUAUGGUAAAAUCUUGUUUCUACUAAAAAAAACAAAAAUUAGCCAGUAAUGACAGCAGGCACCUGUGAUCCCAGCUACCUGGGAGGCUGAGACAGAAGAAUUGCUUGAACCCAGGAGUCAGAGGUUGCAGUGAGCUGAUUGCACUCCAGCCUGGGUGACAGAGUAAGACUCCGUCUCUAAAAAAAAAAAAAUAGUGUUUUAAUAUUUUAACAACAGACAUGGUUGGAUUGGGGCACGUGAGCUGCAUGCCUGCCCUGGUCAAAGGUAAUGGUGAUUAGUCCUGUGAAAGUCUGUUUGCAGUGAAGGGAAACAUUCAAAGGGAGGCUUUGCCUUCUUUGCCAGACAGAAGUUCCCCUGUGGAAAACGUGCCUAUGAGAAGUUCAGACUAGACAAGAUGAAGAAUCAGGCCUUUAGCAAUGGAAUGGGCUUUCUCUAUGAUAUUAAACACUUUGUGGUUGUAACGUACUUUAUUUAAAAAAAAAAAGCACUUUCUCAUCCAUCAUUCCAGGGAAGUUAAGAACUGCGUGAUAGAUCAGUGACUGAAAUAGCACUGGGACUCAUAUUUCUUAAUUCUAACCCGAGGGCUAUUCCUGUCCCACUCAGGUGCCUCCAGGGGAGGUUUAGAAAUGCUAAGCCUUUGGGAGGCCUAGGUGGGCAGAUCGCGAGGUCAGGAGUUUGAGACAAGCUUGAUCAACAUGGAGAAACCCUAUCUCUACUGAAAAUACAAAAAUUAGCUGAGUGUGGGGGCACGCACCUGUAAGCCCAGCAGCUCAGUAGGCUUGAACCCAGGAGUCGGAGGAUGCAGUGAGCUGGGAUUGCAUCACUACACUCACUCUAGCCUGGGCGAAAGAGCAAGAAUCCAUCUCAAAAAAAAAAAAAAAAGAAAAGCUAAACUUGCCUUCA